RNAcentral lists this small RNA (120 nucleotides) under Asticcacaulis sp. AC466. Its description in RNAcentral is "Caulobacter sRNA CrfA". It matches the Rfam family "Caulobacter sRNA CrfA". Lineage: Bacteria; Pseudomonadati; Pseudomonadota; Alphaproteobacteria; Caulobacterales; Caulobacteraceae. The record is from Rfam by way of RNAcentral.
GAGAACGGAACUUCUCCCGUAGAGAGAAGUCAGUUCCGGCGUUUCGGGGAGGAAACGCUCGUUAAUUAAAAAUAAAAAAGCUCGCCGGGUCUUAUCCCCCCUGUGCGAGCUUUUUUUUGC